RNAcentral lists this ribosomal RNA (467 nucleotides) under uncultured Bacteroidales bacterium. RNAcentral describes it as "bacterial SSU rRNA". It matches the Rfam family "Bacterial small subunit ribosomal RNA", at positions 28 to 490 of the family's 1533-position model. Lineage: Bacteria; Pseudomonadati; Bacteroidota; Bacteroidia; Bacteroidales. The record is from RNAcentral.
GAUGAACGCUAGCGAUAGGCCUAACACAUGCAAGUCGAGGGGCAGCGGGGUAGCAAUACCGCCGGCGACCGGCGCACGGGUGAGUAACACGUAUGCAACCUGCCAUAUACAGGGGGAUAGCCUUCCGAAAGGGAGAUUAAUACCGCAUAACACAGGGGAGUCACAUGACUAUAUUUGUUAAAGAUUUAUCGGUAUAUGAUGGGCAUGCGUUGGAUUAGAUAGUUGGUGCAGGUAACGGCUCACCAAGUCAGCGAUCCAUAGGGGAACUGAGAGGUUAAUCCCCCACACCGGUACUGAGACACGGACCGGACUCCUACGGGAGGCAGCAGUGAGGAAUAUUGGUCAAUGGUCGAGAGACUGAACCAGCCAAAUCGCGUGAAGGACGAAGGUAUUACGUAUUGUAAACUUCUUUUGUAAGGGAAUAAAGUGAGGGACGUGUCCCUUUUUGUAUGUACCUUACGAAUAAG